UGCCUACGGGAGGCAGCAGUGGGGGAUAUUCACAAUGGGGGAAACCCUGAUGCAGCGACGCCGCGUGGGCGAAGAAGUAUCUCGGUAUGUAAAGCCUUAUCAGCAGGGAAGAAGAAAUGACGGUACCUGAGUAAGAAGCACCGGCUAAAUACGUGCCAGCAGCCGCGGUAAUACGUAUGGUGCAAGCGUUAUCCGGAUUUACUGGGUGUAAAGGGAGCGCAGGCGGCACGGCAAGCCUGAUGUGAAAGCCCGCGGCCCAACCGCGGGACUGCAUUGGGAACUACCGGGCUGGAGUGCCGGAGAGG
Molecule: ribosomal RNA, 305 nt
Filed under: uncultured bacterium
Lineage: Bacteria
Description: bacterial SSU rRNA
Rfam family: Bacterial small subunit ribosomal RNA
Source: RNAcentral